This is a long non-coding RNA of Rhineura floridana, 335 nucleotides long. RefSeq lists it as uncharacterized. NCBI's taxonomy places the organism in Eukaryota, Metazoa, Chordata, Lepidosauria, Squamata, Rhineuridae. The transcript has 3 exons. The record is from RefSeq and is a predicted model, not a curated record.
CCGGCUUCCUUCAGCAACCCAAAACUGUGGAAUGGAAACAGAAGGCCAGGUCUGCAGCAAGGGCUUGCUCAGACCAUUUGGACACAGGGCUGUCUUGAGGAUGAAUAAGAAGAUACUCUAGAAUAACCGGUGCCAAUUUGGGGCCCUCCAGAUUUUCCUGGACUACAUCUCCCUUCAUCCCUGCCCAUUGACCAUGCCCCAGGAGGCCCAAUGCAGUAUUGUACCGGAGCAUUGUGGGAAAUGCCUAGGGCAGGCAGCUUCUAAGCCACUUCUUCCAGAUUGUGAUGAGGGGAGAGAGCGGUGCUGCCCCACUCGUUCGUGGGUGACAUUAACCC